Molecule: unclassified non-coding RNA, 358 nt
Filed under: uncultured fungus
Lineage: Eukaryota; Fungi
Description: sequence contains ITS1
Rfam family: 5.8S ribosomal RNA (bases 1-103)
Source: RNAcentral
AAUCUGCGAUAACUAAUAUGAAUUGCAGAACCCUGUGAAUCAUUGAGAUUUCGAACGCAUAGCGCCCAGGGCUUUGGUCCUGGGCACAUCCGGUUGAGUGACGCUUCAUAUUCUUGCUCUCUAUCUUCCAAGACAGAAAGCAGUUUUUUGCAGACGCGCGUUGCAAAUGGCACGCACUACUGCUAAAUACUUGAGCAAACUUAACUCGAGAGUUUGGUAUGGCAUUAAAUUGCAUUCAUAACCGUUCUCUCGUGGUGUUUGUACCCUUGUGGUGCUUAAGCACUUCAUAGACAAGGACUCUUGUUGUCUUUGCACAAAAUACGUCCUCAACUCGGGUGGGACUACCCGCUGAACUUAA